This 250-nucleotide long non-coding RNA is filed under the name Nicotiana benthamiana. Its description in RNAcentral is "long non-coding RNA (NBEN_LNC030744)". Lineage: Eukaryota; Viridiplantae; Streptophyta; Magnoliopsida; Solanales; Solanaceae. The record is from RNAcentral.
GAAGUAACAUCACCAAAAAGUUUUUGGCCGAAAAAGUGAGUACUUAACGGAAAAUUUUCUGCAAUCUUUCUUCUUUCAUAUUGUCCCCAAUUACUUAUUCCAUCUUCAUCCAUCUUCACCCUCCAUGACAGGAAAAAUACAAAAAAAUUCAUCACCACCACAAUCACCAUCCGCCAUUGAGCAAAUCCAAAAAUAAUAAAUCUCCACUAUCACACCAUCACAUAACCACUAACACUUUCUUCUAUUUCCC